CCUACGGGAGGCAGCAGUAAGGAAUAUUGGUCAAUGGACGAAAGUCUGAACCAGUCAUGCCGCGUGAAGGAUGAAGGUCCUCUGGAUUGUAAACUUCUUUUAUAUGGGACGAAAAAAGGGUUUUCUAACUCGUCUGACGGUACCAUAUGAAUAAGCACCGGCUAACUACGUGCCAGCAGCCGCGGUAAU
RNAcentral lists this ribosomal RNA (189 nucleotides) under uncultured bacterium. Its description in RNAcentral is "partial 16S ribosomal RNA". It matches the Rfam family "Bacterial small subunit ribosomal RNA", at positions 338 to 524 of the family's 1533-position model. The record is from RNAcentral.